GUAAAUUCUGUCCAAGGCUAAAUACGGGCGAGAGACCGAUAGCAAACAAGUACCGCGAGGGAAAUACAAAAAGGACUUUGAAAAAAGAGUCAAAGAGUGCUUGAAAUUGUUGGGAGGGAAGCGGAUAGGGGCUGAUGAUACACCCCAGCCAGAUGUGGAACGGCGACAGUCGGUCCGUCAAUUGACUGGAGGCGUGGAUCUUUGCGGAUUGCAGAGGUGGCCCAAGCCUAGGCUGUAGUUAUGCUCACGGAGAUGUCGUUGCUAUGAUCAUGGCAGCACAUGCCUCACGGCGUGCCUCGGCAUCUACACGCUCUUAGUAUCAGCCUGCGGGCUCCCCAUUUGGCCCGUCUUAAAACACAAACCAAGGAGUUUGACAUGUGUGCCAGUCAACGGGCUAGUAAACCUGUAAGGCACAAGGAAGCUGAUUGGCGAGAUCCCUUUGAAGGUCGCACCGCCGACUGACCUUGAUCUUUUAAAAAAGGUUCGAGUGAGAGCAUACCUGUCGAGACUCGAAAGAUGGUGAACUAUGCCUGACUGGGGCGAAGCCAGCUAAAACUCUAGUGGAGGCCUACAAUGAUACUAACGUGCAAAUCGUUCGCCUGACUUGGGUAUAGGAGCGAAAGACUAAUCGAAUCUUCUAGUAACUAGUUCCACGUGCGAGUUCUAUCGAGUAAAGCCAAUGAUUAGAGGCAUCAACAGUGCAACGCCCUCGACCUAUUCUCAAACUUUAAAUAAGUAGGACGAUGCGACUACUUCGUUGAGCCAUGCCAAGGAAUUAAGAGCUCUAAAUGGGCCAUUUUUGGUAAGCAGAACUGGCGAUGCGGGAUAAACCGGAAGCCAGGUUACGGUGCCCAACUGCGCACUAACGUCGAGCCCACAAAGGGGGUUGGUCAAUUAAGACAGCAGGGCGGUGGUCAUGGAAGUCGAAAUCCACUAAAAAGUGUGUAACAACUCACCUGCCAAAUAAACUAGCCCCGAAAAUGGAUGGAGCUGAAGCGCGCAACCUAUACCCGGCCAUUGGGGCAAGUUCCAAGCCCCAAUGAGUAAGAGGGCACGGCGGUCAUCGCAAAACCUGGGGCACGAGCCUGGGUGAAGCAACUGUCGGUGCAGAUUUUGGUGGUAGUAGCAAAUAUUCAAAUGAGAACUUUAAAGGCCAAAAAGGGGAAAGGUUCCAUGUGAACGGCACUUGCACAUAGGUUAGUCGAUCCUAAGAGACGAGGGAAGCCUAUCUGAUAGCGUGCUAAGUGCGAGCUUCGAAAGGAAAUCGAGUUAAAAUUCUUGAACUGGGACAUGGUGGCUGACGGCAACGUUAGGGAGUCUGAAGACGUUAGCGGGGGCCUCAUAAAAAGUUAUCUUUUCUGUUUAACAGCCUGCCCACCUUGGAAACGGCUCAGCCGGAGGUAGGGUCUAGUGGUUGGAAAAGCACCAUACGUCGUGUGGUUUUUGGUGCGCCCCCAACGACCCUUGAAAAUCUGGAGGACCGAGUGCCACCCAUGCCCAGUCGUACUCAUAACCGCAUUAGGUCUCCAAGGUGAACAGCCUCUAGUCGAUGGAACAAUGUAGGCAAGGGAAGUCAGCAAAAUGGAUUCGUAAUCUCGGGAAAAGGAUUGGCUCUAAGGGUUUGACAUGGGGUCCCAGUCUCGAACAUGUCGGCUGUCGGCGAAUUGCUCGAGUUGCUCUCAAGGCAAAAGCGGGUUGCCGAGUGCCAACCAAGGGAUGAACUGGGAACGACCACCUCGGUGGUCUUCCCUGGGCAUCUAACAGUUGACUCAGAACUGGUAUGGACAAGGGGAAUCUGACUAUUUAAUUAAAACAAAGCAUUGUGAUGGUCCUUAUAGAUGCUCACGCAAUGUGAUUUUUGCCCAGUGCUCUGAAUGUCAAAGUGAAGAAAUUCAACUAAGUGCGAGUAAAAUGCGGGAGUAACUAUGACUCUCUUAAGGUAGCCAAAUGCCUCGUCAUCUAAUUAGUGACAUGCAUGAAUGGAUUAACGAGAUUCCCACUGUCCCUGUCUACUAUCCAGCGAAACCACAGACAAGGGAACGGGCUUAGCAGAAUCAACAGGGAAAGAAGACCCUGUUGAGCUUGACUCUAGUUUGACUUUGUGAAAUGACUUGAAAGGUGUAAUAUAAGUGGGAGCCGAAAGACGAAAGUGAAAUACCACUACUUUUAACGUUAUUUUACUUAUUACAUGAAUCGAAAGUGAGGCUUUGCCCCUCUUUUUAGACCCAAGGCCUGCCUCGGCAGGCCGAUCCCAGUGAAAGACAUUGUCAGGUGGGGAGUUUGGCUGGGGCGGCACAUUUGUUAUAAGAUAACGUAGGUGUCCUAAGAUGAGCUUAACGAGAACAGAAAUCUCACGUGGAACAAAAUGGUAAAAGCUCAUUUGAUUUUGAUUUCCAAUACGAAUACAAACCGUGAAAGCGUGGCCUAUCAAUCCUUUAGACCUUUAAAAUUUAAAGCUAGAGGUGUCAAAAAAGUUACCAUAGGGAUAACUAGCUUGUGGCAGACAAGUGUUCAUAGCGACGUUGCUUUUUUAUCCUUCGAUGUCGGCUCUUCCUAUCAUUGUGAAGCAGAAUUCACCAAGUGUUGGAUUGUUAACCCACCAAUAGGGAACGUGACCUGGGUUUAAACCGUCGUGAGAUAGGUUAGUUUUACCCUACUGAUGACAGCGUCACAAUAGUAAUUCAACCUAGUACGAGAGGAACCGUUGAUUCACACAAUUGUUCAUUGCAAUUGGUUGAAAAGCCAGUGGCGCGAAGCUACCAUGUGCUGGAUUAUAAUUGAACACCUCUAAGACAGAAUUCAGGCUAGAUGACGCGUGCACCCACCACCCGAUUGCUGACCUGCAGUAGGGGCCCUCGGGCCCCCAAAGGCACGUAUCUUUGGCUAAGCCCCCACAGCGGACGAGUUGCGUGGGCUGCCUUAAAGUAUAAUUCCCAUCGAGCGGCGGGUAGAAUCCUUUGCAAAUGACUUAAAUACAUGACGAGAUAUUGUAAGUGGCAGAGUGGCCUUGCUACCACGAUCCACUAAGAUUCAGCCCUGUGUCACUUUGAUUCAU
RNAcentral lists this ribosomal RNA (3055 nucleotides) under Quercus suber. Its description in RNAcentral is "eukaryotic LSU rRNA". It matches the Rfam family "Eukaryotic large subunit ribosomal RNA". The record is from RNAcentral. Lineage: Eukaryota; Viridiplantae; Streptophyta; Magnoliopsida; Fagales; Fagaceae.